Molecule: small nuclear RNA, 106 nt
Organism: Pelmatolapia mariae (spotted tilapia)
Lineage: Eukaryota; Metazoa; Chordata; Actinopteri; Cichliformes; Cichlidae
Source: RefSeq, a predicted model, not a curated record
GCUUGCUUCGGCAAGCGCGUACGCUAAAUUGGAUACGAUACAGAGAAGAUUAGCAUGGCCCCUGAGCAAGGAAGGUUUGGAGUCUUCACACACCCCCGUUCUCUGU